This 77-nucleotide transfer RNA is filed under the name Deltaproteobacteria bacterium. RNAcentral describes it as "tRNA-Pro". It matches the Rfam family "tRNA". From Rfam's summary of the family: Transfer RNA (tRNA) molecules are approximately 80 nucleotides in length. Their secondary structure includes four short double-helical elements and three loops (D, anti-codon, and T loops). The record is from RNAcentral. Lineage: Bacteria; Pseudomonadati; Myxococcota; Myxococcia.
CGGGACGUGGCGCAGCCUGGUAGCGCAUCUGCUUUGGGAGCAGAGGGCCGCCGGUUCGAAUCCGGCCGUCCCGACCA